This 2399-nucleotide ribosomal RNA is filed under the name Trichoniscoides albidus. Its description in RNAcentral is "bacterial SSU rRNA". It matches the Rfam family "Eukaryotic small subunit ribosomal RNA". The record is from RNAcentral. Lineage: Eukaryota; Metazoa; Arthropoda; Malacostraca; Isopoda; Trichoniscidae.
CUGGUUGAUCCUGCCAGUAGUCAUAUGCUUGUCUCAAAGAUUAAGCCAUGCAUGUCUCAGUACUAGCCAACCYAAGGCGAAACCGCGAAUGGCUCAUUAAAUCAGUCAUGAUUCAUUGGAUGUUGUGAGAUCCUUACUCGGAUAACUGUGGUAAUUCUAGAGCUAAUACGUGGCAACUGAGCUCCGACCCUGCCCCGCAAGGGGUGGGGGAAGGGCGCCUUUAUUAGAUCAAAAACCGGUGUCGGACUUCGGUCCGCUCCGUAAAAGGUUUCUUGAUGACUCUGAAUAACUAAGCCGAGCGCUGAGGUCUUAGUACCGGCGCCGUAUCCUUCAAGUGUCUGCCUUAUCAGCUCUCGAUUGUAGGUUAUGCGCCUACAAUGGCUGUAACGGGUAACGGGGAAUCGGGGUUCGAUUCCGGAGAGGGAGCCUGAGAAACGGCUACCACAUCUAAGGAAGGCAGCAGGCACGCAAAUUACCCAAUCCCGGCUCGGGGAGGUAGUGACGAAAAAUAACGAUGCAGACUUCAUCCGAGGCUUUGCAAUCGGAAUGAGUUCAAUUUAAAUACUUGGACGAGGAUCCAUUGGAGGGCAAGUCUGGUGCCAGCAGCCGCGGUAAUUCCAGCUCCAAUAGCGUAUAUUAAAGUUGCUGCGGUUAAAAAGCUCGUAGUUGGAUUUCUGAUGCGGACCGGGAGCCCAUCUAAGGCGCGCCCCUCGCCCUUACGAACGUUAUCCCUGCGCUCUCUCCGUCCUCGAAAUCGGCGCUCUCGCGGGUGUAAGGUAUAGUUUCGUUCUCGUCGCUAACUUUCGAUAUCCCUUUCUCCUUGGUACGUGUGUUUGUCGUUUCUCGCAGCGGAAGGGUGCUUUCGGCGCUCUUUCGUUUCAGUCGAGGCGGCUUCACACCUCCUUUCGGGAGUCUGGUUCCGUCGAUAUUGGUUAAAGAGUCGGAUCUAGCUAACGCCUUGCCCGCCUCGCCGACGUAGGGGGAUUAAAAAGCGGUGAGAGCGCGUUAAGGGUUCGUUCCGGGCGGGUAAGCGCGCCCGGUGGUUUACUACCCGGCUCCGGAUUGAAAAAGCGGUCGGCUCUCACGGGGUGCUCUUUACCGAGUGUCCCGCGUGGCCGACAACUUCACUUUGAAAAAAUUAGAGUGCUCAGAGCAGGCAAAAUCUUAAAGCCUGAAUGGUAGUGCAUGGAAUGAUGGAACAGGACCUCGGUUCUGCCUUUUUGUACCCGGUUUUUCUGGACCGAGGUAAUGAUUAACGGGAACAGACGGGGGCAUUAGUAUUGCGACGCUAGAGGUGAAAUUCUUGGACCGUCGCAAGACUAAGUACUGCGAAAGCAUUUGCCAAGAAUGUUUUCAUUAAUCAAGAACGAAAGUUAGAGGAUCGAAGGCGAUCAGAUACCGCCCUAGUUCUAACCAUAAACGAUGCUAACUGGCGAUCCGUCGGCGUCAUUCCCACGACUCGACGGGGAGCCCCCGGGAAACCAAAGUCUUUGAGUUCCGGGGGAAGUAYGGUUGCAAAGCUGAAACUUAAAGGAAUUGACGGAAGGGCACCACCAGGAGUGGAGCCUGCGGCUUAAUUUGACUCAACACGGGAAACCUCACCAGGCCCAGACACUGGAAGGAUUGACAGAUUGAGAGCUCUUUCUCGAUUCAGUGGGUGGUGGUGCAUGGCCGUUCUUAGUUGGUGGAGCGAUCUGUCUGGUUGAUUCCGAUAACGAACGAGACUCUUCCCUGCUAACUAGUCGGCGAAUCGUCUCCCGAGACGGGUUCUUACGCGGAUGUUUCGGGACGUUGCCCCUUUCCUCGUAUCUCGUUUAAAAGGAAGGCGGUGAGUACUCGUCGUCUCGUCCUUCACGGGGCGUUUCGACGAGCCGUCGCCCGAGAAAAGGUCGAGUAUACGGGGAGUUCGGGGGGCUUCAUUUUCGUUCUCCGCGCGUUGAACCCAGCGAGGGGCGUUCGUCGCAACAUCUUCUUAGAGGGAUUGGCGGCGUCCAGCCGCAAGAGAUAGAGCAAUAACAGGUCUGYGAUGCCCUUAGAUGUUCUGGGCCGCACGCGCGCUACACUGAAGGGAUCAGCGUGCUUUCCCACUCCGAAAGGAGCGGGUAACCCGAUGAAACCCCUUCCCGAUUGGGAUUGGGGAUUGCAAGUGUUUCCCAUGAACGAGGAAUUCCCAGUAAGCGCAAGUCAUCAGCUUGCGUUGAUUACGUCCCUGCCCUUUGUACACACCGCCCGUCGCUACUACCGAUUGAAUGAUUCAGUGAGGGCAUCGGACUGGCGCCCUCGGUAGCCUACGGUUCGCAUAUCAAACUCCGCUUCGGCGGGGGCGGCCAAAGGCACCCCGGGCUGACGGAAAGAUGUCCGAACUUGAUCAUUUAGAGGAAGUAAAAGUCGUAACAAGG